Molecule: long non-coding RNA, 1193 nt
Filed under: Homo sapiens (human)
Lineage: Eukaryota; Metazoa; Chordata; Mammalia; Primates; Hominidae
Description: HSALNT0072797
Source: RNAcentral
UUUGAGUAGUGUACUAAGUCAUUUGAAUUUCAUUAUAUAUCGCUGAUCAAAUAUCUCCACAACUUCUUCUUUAAUAAGAGAUAGAGAAUGAUCCAAUGAUUAGAGUUUUAAAAAGUACACUAACUACAGUAAGGGUUCAUGAUUACUACAUUGUUGAAUACGAUCAAGCAGUCUGGAAGACUGUCGAGUGUUGCUUUGGAGGAGAUUUCUACCCAGGAUUAUCUUGAAAUGUCAGACUCUCUGGAACUACUAGACUCAGCAUAAACAACAGGAGUUGCUCGAGUUUCGCUCUUGUCGCCCAGGCUGGAGUGCAGUGGCGCGAUCUUGGCUGACUGCAACCUCCACCUCCCAGGUUCAAGCGAUUCUCCUGCCUCAGUCUCCAGAGUAGCUGGGACUACAGGUGCGCACCACCACACCUGGCUAAUGUUGGCAUUUUUAGUAGAGACAGGGUUUCACCAUGUUGACCAAGAUGUUCUCCGUCUCCUGACCUUGGGAUCCGCCCGUCUCGGCCUCCCAAAGUGCUGGGAUUAGAGGCGUGAGCCACUGUGCCCGGCAAUAAAUACUUUUAAGAGUUUCGGUAAUGUGAAUUACUGAGCUAGAAGUUAGAGAUAGGAAUAAAAAUAACCCAAAGAACAAAAUAUUUACUAAGCCGCUGUAUUAAUCUGUUUGCACGCUGCUGAUAAAGACAUAUCCGACACUGGGGAAUUUACAAAGGAAAAUGAUUUAAUGGAGAACUCAGAGUUCUACGUGGAUGGGGAAGCCUCACAAUCAUGACAGAAAGUGAGGCGGAGCAAGUCACAUCUUACCUGGAUGGCGGCAGGAAAAAAGAAAGAGUUUGUGCAGGGGAACUCCUCUUUUAAAAACCAUCAGCUCUCAUGAGACUUAUUCUCUAUCAUGAGAACAGCCCUGAAAGACCUGCCCCCGUGAUUGAAUUACCUCCCACCAGGUGUCUCCCACAAUAGGUGGGAAUUCAAGGUGAGAGCUGGGUGAGGACACAGCCAAACCAUAUCAGCCACCACACAAACAUGAACUUAUGCUAAAAUGUAGUUAAUGUCAUUAUAUAACACAAAUACAUGCAAAGACACAGAGUAAUGAAAGCCUUGUUUAACCAGGUAGAUAGGGCAGUAGUCAGCAAAUGCUUUCUGGCUAAGAUUGGUGUUGCUAUACUGAACCGAAAUAAGAACAUGAAUUAA